GACGAACGCUGGCGGCGCGCCUAACACAUGCAAGUCGAACGGAGUCAAGAGGAGCUUGCUUUUCUUGACUUAGUGGCGAACGGGUGAGUAACGCGUGAGUAACCUGCCCUGGAGUGGGGGACAACAGUUGGAAACGACUGCUAAUACCGCAUAAGCCCACGGAUCUGCAUGGAUCUGCGGGAAAAGGAUUUAUUCGCUCUAGGAUGGACUCGCGUCCAAUUAGCUAGUUGGUGAGGUAACGGCCCACCAAGGCGACGAUUGGUAGCCGGACUGAGAGGUUGAACGGCCACAUUGGGACUGAGACACGGCCCAGACUCCUACGGGAGGCAGCAGUGGGGGAUAUUGCACAAUGGGGGAAACCCUGAUGCAGCGACGCCGCGUGGAGGAAGAAGGUUUUCGGAUUGCAAACUCCUGUCGUUAGGGACGAUAAUGACGGUACCUAACAAGAAAGCACCGGCUAACUACGUG
Molecule: ribosomal RNA, 468 nt
Filed under: uncultured bacterium
Lineage: Bacteria
Description: partial 16S ribosomal RNA
Rfam family: Bacterial small subunit ribosomal RNA
Source: RNAcentral